RNAcentral lists this ribosomal RNA (54 nucleotides) under Cordyceps militaris. Its description in RNAcentral is "partial 28S ribosomal RNA". The record is from RNAcentral. Lineage: Eukaryota; Fungi; Ascomycota; Sordariomycetes; Hypocreales; Cordycipitaceae.
GACCUCGGAUCAGGUAGGAAUACCCGCUGAACUUAAGCAUAUCAAUAAGCGAGA